Molecule: ribosomal RNA, 2798 nt
Filed under: Salmonella enterica subsp. enterica serovar Enteritidis
Lineage: Bacteria; Pseudomonadati; Pseudomonadota; Gammaproteobacteria; Enterobacterales; Enterobacteriaceae
Description: partial 23S ribosomal RNA
Rfam family: Bacterial large subunit ribosomal RNA
Source: RNAcentral
GGGUUGUGAGGUUAAGCGACUAAGCGUACACGGUGGAUGCCCUGGCAGUCAGAGGCGAUGAAGGGCGUGCUAAUCUGCGAUAAGCGCCGGUAAGGUGAUAUGAACCGUUAUAACCGGCGAUACCCGAAUGGGGAAACCCAGUGUGACUCGUCACACUAUCAUUAACUGAAUCCAUAGGUUAAUGAGGCGAACCGGGGGAACUGAAACAUCUAAGUACCCCGAGGAAAAGAAAUCAACCGAGAUUCCCCCAGUAGCGGCGAGCGAACGGGGAGGAGCCCAGAGCCUGAAUCAGCAUGUGUGUUAGUGGAAGCGUCUGGAAAGGCGCGCGAUACAGGGUGACAGCCCCGUACACAAAAGCGCAUGUGCUGUGAGCUCGAUGAGUAGGGCGGGACACGUGGUAUCCUGUCUGAAUAUGGGGGGACCAUCCUCCAAGGCUAAAUACUCCUGACUGACCGAUAGUGAACCAGUACCGUGAGGGAAAGGCGAAAAGAACCCCGGCGAGGGGAGUGAAAAAGAACCUGAAACCGUGUACGUACAAGCAGUGGGAGCACCCUUUGGGUGUGACUGCGUACCUUUUGUAUAAUGGGUCAGCGACUUAUAUUCUGUAGCAAGGUUAACCGAAUAGGGGAGCCGGAGGGAAACCGAGUCUUAAUUGGGCGUUAAGUUGCAGGGUAUAGACCCGAAACCCGGUGAUCUAGCCAUGGGCAGGUUGAAGGUUGGGUAACACUAACUGGAGGACCGAACCGACUAAUGUUGAAAAAUUAGCGGAUGACCUGUGGCUGGGGGUGAAAGGCCAAUCAAACCGGGAGAUAGCUGGUUCUCCCCGAAAGCUAUUUAGGUAGCGCCUCGUGAAUUCAUCUCCGGGGGUAGAGCACUGUUUCGGCUAGGGGGCCAUCCCGGCUUACCAACCCGAUGCAAACUGCGAAUACCGGAGAAUGUUAUCACGGGAGACACACGGCGGGUGCUAACGUCCGUCGUGAAGAGGGAAACAACCCAGACCGCCAGCUAAGGUCCCAAAGUCAUGGUUAAGUGGGAAACGAUGUGGGAAGGCCCAGACAGCCAGGAUGUUGGCUUAGAAGCAGCCAUCAUUUAAAGAAAGCGUAAUAGCUCACUGGUCGAGUCGGCCUGCGCGGAAGAUGUAACGGGGCUAAACCAUGCACCGAAGCUGCGGCAGCGACACUGUGUGUUGUUGGGUAGGGGAGCGUUCUGUAAGCCUGCGAAGGUGGCCUGUGAGGGUUGCUGGAGGUAUCAGAAGUGCGAAUGCUGACAUAAGUAACGAUAAAGCGGGUGAAAAGCCCGCUCGCCGGAAGACCAAGGGUUCCUGUCCAACGUUAAUCGGGGCAGGGUGAGUCGACCCCUAAGGCGAGGCCGAAAGGCGUAGUCGAUGGGAAACGGGUUAAUAUUCCCGUACUUGGUGUUACUGCGAAGGGGGGACGGAGAAGGCUAUGUUGGCCGGGCGACGGUUGUCCCGGUUUAAGCGUGUAGGUGUGUGUUCCAGGUAAAUCCGGUUCACUUUAACACUGAGGCGUGACGACGAGGCACUACGGUGCUGAAGCAACAAAUGCCCUGCUUCCAGGAAAAGCCUCUAAGCAUCAGGUAACAUCAAAUCGUACCCCAAACCGACACAGGUGGUCAGGUAGAGAAUACCAAGGCGCUUGAGAGAACUCGGGUGAAGGAACUAGGCAAAAUGGUGCCGUAACUUCGGGAGAAGGCACGCUGACACGUAGGUGAAGUGAUUUACUCAUGGAGCUGAAGUCAGUCGAAGAUACCAGCUGGCUGCAACUGUUUAUUAAAAACACAGCACUGUGCAAACACGAAAGUGGACGUAUACGGUGUGACGCCUGCCCGGUGCCGGAAGGUUAAUUGAUGGGGUCAGCGCAAGCGAAGCUCCUGAUCGAAGCCCCGGUAAACGGCGGCCGUAACUAUAACGGUCCUAAGGUAGCGAAAUUCCUUGUCGGGUAAGUUCCGACCUGCACGAAUGGCGUAAUGAUGGCCAGGCUGUCUCCACCCGAGACUCAGUGAAAUUGAACUCGCUGUGAAGAUGCAGUGUACCCGCGGCAAGACGGAAAGACCCCGUGAACCUUUACUAUAGCUUGACACUGAACAUUGAGCCUUGAUGUGUAGGAUAGGUGGGAGGCUUUGAAGUGUGGACGCCAGUCUGCAUGGAGCCGACCUUGAAAUACCACCCUUUAAUGUUUGAUGUUCUAACGUGGACCCGUUACCCGGGUUGCGGACAGUGUCUGGUGGGUAGUUUGACUGGGGCGGUCUCCUCCUAAAGAGUAACGGAGGAGCACGAAGGUUGGCUAAUCCUGGUCGGACAUCAGGAGGUUAGUGCAAUGGCAUAAGCCAGCUUGACUGCGAGCGUGACGGCGCGAGCAGGUGCGAAAGCAGGUCAUAGUGAUCCGGUGGUUCUGAAUGGAAGGGCCAUCGCUCAACGGAUAAAAGGUACUCCGGGGAUAACAGGCUGAUACCGCCCAAGAGUUCAUAUCGACGGCGGUGUUUGGCACCUCGAUGUCGGCUCAUCACAUCCUGGGGCUGAAGUAGGUCCCAAGGGUAUGGCUGUUCGCCAUUUAAAGUGGUACGCGAGCUGGGUUUAGAACGUCGUGAGACAGUUCGGUCCCUAUCUGCCGUGGGCGCUGGAGAACUGAGGGGGGCUGCUCCUAGUACGAGAGGACCGGAGUGGACGCAUCACUGGUGUUCGGGUUGUCAUGCCAAUGGCACUGCCCGGUAGCUAAAUGCGGAAGAGAUAAGUGCUGAAAGCAUCUAAGCACGAAACUUGCCCCGAGAUGAGUUCUCCC